AUUGAACGCUGGCGGCAGGCCUAACACAUGCAAGUCGAGCGGAUGAAGGGAGCUUGCUCCUGGAUUCAGCGGCGGACGGGUGAGUAAUGCCUAGGAAUCUGCCUGGUAGUGGGGGAUAACGUCCGGAAACGGGCGCUAAUACCGCAUACGUCCUGAGGGAGAAAGUGGGGGAUCUUCGGACCUCACGCUAUCAGAUGAGCCUAGGUCGGAUUAGCUAGUUGGUGGGGUAAAGGCCUACCAAGGCGACGAUCCGUAACUGGUCUGAGAGGAUGAUCAGUCACACUGGAACUGAGACACGGUCCAGACUCCUACGGGAGGCAGCAGUGGGGAAUAUUGGACAAUGGGCGAAAGCCUGACCCAGCCAUGCCGCGUGUGUGAAGAAGGUCUUCGGAUUGUAAAGCUCUUUAAGUUGGGAGGAAGGGCAGUAAGUUAAUACCUUGCUGUUUUGACGUUACCAACAGAAUAAGCACCGGCUAACUUCGUG
This 484-nucleotide ribosomal RNA is filed under the name uncultured bacterium. RNAcentral describes it as "partial 16S ribosomal RNA". It matches the Rfam family "Bacterial small subunit ribosomal RNA", at positions 30 to 507 of the family's 1533-position model. The record is from RNAcentral.